UACGAAGGGGGCUAGCGUUGCUCGGAAUCACUGGGCGUAAAGCGCACGUAGGCGGAUUGCUAAGUCAGGGGUGAAAUCCUGGAGCUCAACUCCAGAACUGCCUUUGAUACUGGCGAUCUUGAGUCCGGGAGAGGUGAGUGGAACUGCGAGUGUAGAGGUGAAAUUCGUAGAUAUUCGCAAGAACACCAGUGGCGAAGGCGGCUCACUGGCCCGAUACUGACGCUGAGGCACGAAAGCGUGAGGAGCAAACAGG
Molecule: ribosomal RNA, 253 nt
Filed under: uncultured bacterium
Lineage: Bacteria
Description: partial 16S ribosomal RNA
Rfam family: Bacterial small subunit ribosomal RNA
Source: RNAcentral